AGGCAUCCUGGGAAUUGAGAGCAAGGGGGGGAGACAGGAAACAAACCUCAUCAGCUUUUUGUCUUCAGUCUUUGAUGCUUGUUGUUUGGUCUAGAUGCUAACACACUGUAUUACUGAUGUACAUUUCCAUCGCUUUCAUUUAAUAAAUUCAACAAUAUAAUCAUGUCAUUUUCAACCCUUUGGAUUAAUCAUCUCAAGAGUUAUUGUCCUGUUUCAGCCACUGUUCGUGUGUUAAUGAGCCAAACUGUAUUUUGUAGUAACGUAAAGGUGCCACAAGAUGGCGAUAGCUACACAUGAAGCACCGUAUGGGAACCGAGCAAGUCACUGAACAUGUUCCUGCAAAUGUUUCACAAUAAAAGCUUUGUUAGGAAAUGAAGGGAGUCUGUUCACUGAAACGCUAGAGGGCUUUUAAUUUGAAACGGCUGCAGGAAGUGUUGAGUUUGUAUUAACAGCGUAAUGCAGUAACAAACAUUUAACAGGGCAAACGGGAGCAGAUGAGAAAACAAGGAGGUGGACAAAAUAACAGAAACACCUCUCAGUUCAACAGCAGCACAAACUGCAGCCUCCAAAGUGACCCGACAGAAACAGAAUCAUUGAGCAGAUCCGCCCUAUGCUGAUUGGACGAAUUACUUGACGUGGCUCUUCCUUGGGUGACAUCUUAUAAAUAAUACAACUGAGUUGUGAGUAUUUGAAAAGUGUUAAUUUAUUAUUGUUUUCUUUCGGCUUCUGUUUACAACUUCAAAUUAAACAAUUUUGAAAACUG
Long non-coding RNA from Siniperca chuatsi (mandarin fish), 763 nucleotides. RefSeq lists it as uncharacterized. Lineage: Eukaryota; Metazoa; Chordata; Actinopteri; Centrarchiformes; Sinipercidae. The transcript is spliced from 2 exons. The record is from RefSeq and is a predicted model, not a curated record.